Molecule: ribosomal RNA, 465 nt
Filed under: uncultured bacterium
Lineage: Bacteria
Description: partial 16S ribosomal RNA
Rfam family: Bacterial small subunit ribosomal RNA
Source: RNAcentral
GACGAACGCUGGCGGCGUGCUUAACACAUGCAAGUCGUACGGUAAGGCCCUUUCGGGGGUACACGAGUGGCGAACGGGUGAGUAACACGUGAGUAACCUGCCCACAACUUUGGGAUAACGCUAGGAAACUGGUGCUAAUACUGGAUAUGUGCUCCUGCUGCAUGGUGGGGGUUGGAAAGCUCCGGCGGUUGUGGAUGGACUCGCGGCCUAUCAGCUUGUUGGUGGGGUAGUGGCCUACCAAGGCGGCGACGGGUAGCCGGCCUGAGAGGGUGACCGGCCACAGUGGGACUGAGAUACGGCCCAGACUCCUACGGGAGGCAGCAGUGGGGAAUAUUGCACAAUGGGCGCAAGCCUGAUGCAGCAACGCCGCGUGCGGGAUGACGGCCUUCGGGUUGUAAACCGCUUUCAGCAGGGACGAAGCUUUUUGUGACGGUACCUGCAGAAGAAGCAGCGGCUAACUACGUG